This 342-nucleotide ribosomal RNA is filed under the name Prymnesium parvum. Its description in RNAcentral is "partial Bacterial small subunit ribosomal RNA". It matches the Rfam family "Bacterial small subunit ribosomal RNA", at positions 1067 to 1416 of the family's 1533-position model. Lineage: Eukaryota; Haptophyta; Prymnesiales; Prymnesiaceae. The record is from RNAcentral.
GUGAGAUGUUGGGUUAAGUCCCGCAACGAGCGCAACCCUUGUUUUUAGUUGCCUUUUAUGGAACUCUAAAAAGACUGCCGGUUAUAAACCGGAGGAAGGCGGGGAUGACGUCAAGUCAGCAUGCCCCUUACACUCUGGGCUACACACGUGCUACAUUGGGCGAGACAAUGAGAUGCAAACCUGCGAGGGUAAGCUAAUCUAUAAACUCGUUCUAAGUUCGGAUUGUAGGCUGCAACUCGCCUACAUGAAGGUGGAAUCGCUAGUAAUCGCUGGUCAGCUACACAGCGGUGAAUCCGUUCCCGGGCCUUGUACACACCCCCCGUCACACCAUGGGAGCGGGUU